AUAGCGUAUAUUAAAGUUGUUGCAGUUAAAAAGCUCGUAGUUGGAUUUGUGGCUGGUCACAGUGGCGUGCCCUACUGGGUUAUGCUGUUUGUGUCUGCCAUCUUUGGGUGGAAUCUAGGUGGCAUUAGGUUGUCGUCUGGGGGAUGCCCAUCGUUUACUGUGAAAAAAUUAGAGUGUUCAAAGCAGGCUUAUGCCGUUGAAUAUGUUAGCAUGGAAUAAUGAUAUAGGACCUUGGUACUAUUUUGUUGGUUUGCGCACUGAGGUAAUGAUUAAUAGGGACAGUUGGGGGUAUUCGUAUUCCAUUGUCAGAGGUGAAAUUCUUGGAUUUUUGGAAGACGAACUACUGCGAAAGCAUUUACCAAGGAUGUUUUC
Molecule: ribosomal RNA, 372 nt
Filed under: Nitzschia cf. fonticola D15_023
Lineage: Eukaryota; Bacillariophyta; Bacillariophyceae; Bacillariales; Bacillariaceae
Description: SSU rRNA
Rfam family: Eukaryotic small subunit ribosomal RNA
Source: RNAcentral